AGAUAUAAGGGUUAAAGCCCCUUCAACUCCU
This 31-nucleotide transfer RNA is filed under the name Laimosemion sp. Atabapo. RNAcentral's name for it is "partial tRNA-Ile". The record is from RNAcentral. Lineage: Eukaryota; Metazoa; Chordata; Actinopteri; Cyprinodontiformes; Rivulidae. RNAcentral also lists the same sequence under 2 other names.